Molecule: ribosomal RNA, 213 nt
Filed under: uncultured soil bacterium
Lineage: Bacteria
Description: partial 16S ribosomal RNA
Rfam family: Bacterial small subunit ribosomal RNA
Source: RNAcentral
AGAACGAACGCUGGCGGCAUGCCUAAUACAUGCAAGUCGAACGAACUCUUCGGAGUUAGUGGCGCACGGGUGCGUAACGCGUGGGAAUCUGCCCCUUGGUUCGGAAUAACAGUUGGAAACGACUGCUAAUACCGGAUGAUGACGAAAGUCCAAAGAUUUAUCGCCAAGGGAUGAGCCCGCGUAGGAUUAGCUUAGUUGGUGAGGUAAAGGCUC